Molecule: non-coding RNA, 29 nt
Filed under: Mus musculus (house mouse)
Lineage: Eukaryota; Metazoa; Chordata; Mammalia; Rodentia; Muridae
Source: RNAcentral
UGAUUUCAUUUCUCCUGUUUUGACAACAG